Long non-coding RNA from Oreochromis niloticus (Nile tilapia), 270 nucleotides. RefSeq lists it as uncharacterized. The transcript is spliced from 3 exons. The record is from RefSeq and is a predicted model, not a curated record. NCBI's taxonomy places the organism in Eukaryota, Metazoa, Chordata, Actinopteri, Cichliformes, Cichlidae.
UGCAGUUCCAGGGAGAAUACAGGAGCACGUCAGUGAUGGUGGGCAGAGGCAGACUUACUCCAGUUCCUCGUCUCUCUCCAUCUCCUCAGAAGUUUGACUGUCUUUAGCGUUGUCCUUCAGGUGCUUCCUGUGGUUAAAAAUUGACAACAUGUCUUUCAGAUCUCAGCGUGCUUGUGUCCCCACUGCCAACCAGUCGCAGCAGAUGGCCCCGCCCCUCCCUGAGCCUGAUUCUGCCGGAAGUUUCUUCCUGUUAAAAGGGAGUUUUUCCUU